CCCCCUUCAGAUAAAUUUCAGGCCUGGGUGGUGGCACACCAGGUAGGAGGCAUAUGUCACUACACUCAAAGACCUGAAUUCAAGCCGCUAGUUCUCACCUGCAGGGGGAAAGCUUCAUGAGUGGUGGAGCAGGGCUGCAGGCGUCUCUUCUCUCUGUCUCUCUCUCUAUCUUUCAUCCUCUAUCAAAAAAAGAAAAAAAAGGAUGUGACACACAUGACUAAGAUGGAAUAUUAAGGGAAUGUUAGCCCAGCCCAACUCAGAUGAGUCAGGAUUCCUGAGACGACUGGAGACACGUGGUCUUGUGUUCCUGUCUACUGGAUGUGAGCGCCAGUGCAAAGGACGAGUCAGGUCAGCAAUGCGUCGGGGCAGCUGGAGUCAUCUGAGAGUGAUUUGCAAUAAAAUGUUCUAGGAAAAGCUUGGAAGUACAUGCAUUUCUUCUAGACUGAACGAACGCAGUUUCUUGAGUCGCCCAGCAUGCCGCCUGCUGAGAGAGUUCAGGCCACACGGCUGCUGGGCGAUGCCCUCAGAACUGGCUGACAGUGACAGCUCGUGGGCGGCACACAGACCUGGCAGAUGGAGCUUCCUGAAUUGUGAAAUCUGGGGAGAGAGGACCAGGUGGAGACUCAACCCAGUUGAGUGCACAUGCUGCAAUGCAGGGACCAGGGUUCGAGCCCCUGGCCCCCAUUUGCAUGGCUUCCUGAGCAGUGAAGCAGGCCGGCAGACCCGCAUGAGACACUUGUCAAGAGUCAGGAAGAGAGAACACCGCUGCAGUAAGUCAUCUCUUAAAACUCUCCAGUUAGCCGUCCCAAAUCCCAUUUCUUUGGUGAGCAGCUCAGAUGGACCAUGGACCUCGACGCAGACUCCCUAGAGACUACAAGACACAAGACACAGCUGAGAAUCUCUUCCAGCCCAUGAAGAACAGGAAACUGCAAAGGGAGGGAGGAAAGGAGAGGCCAGGGGAGCUGCCUCCGGUAGAGAGCACGCCUCCCAUGCAGGAGGCCCUGGCUUUGUCCUCACGCUGACCUCAUACAAAGUCAGGUGGGAGAGGAAGGUGGCAGCCUCCUGUCCCCUGGGGUCUUUGCAGUGUCAUGAUGUGACAGGACAGCUGGUUCACCAACUCUAAGCUGACUUCCAUCAGAGGGGCCUUGGCUUCCCUGAGUGUCCUGAGGGUCUGCCCUGUCUUCCAGAAGCUAGGCCUCUCUCAGCAGGUGCCCGGGCGGUGCUGAUUAAAUACCUCAUCUUGGAGAAACCGGCCGCCCACAGUCACACACUGGGGAGGAGAUAGGCUGGGGACUUAAACACAGGUCUCCUCUUCCCGGAGAUGCUAGAACUUUCUUCUUGUCCCAACCACGCAGCCUGUUUAUGACAGAGACAAAAAUAUUCCGCUUCCCGCGCCAGGGAGACGUGUAAUUGGAGACACUCAGCACUGAGACACUGAGCGCUGAGCACGUCUUGGAAGUGUCCUCCAGAAAGCUUGGAGGGUGACACCCAGGUGGCUCACGUCACACCCUGCAUUCUCCUCUGCCCCAGCUCCCAGGGGGGCCUUGUGUGCAUUUCUAGCCCCUGAUGACCUCUCAGUGGGAAUAGGCGUCUCAUGCUUUUCAGGCCCAGGAGAGAGAGAGAGCUCGCUCAUCCAGUAGACCAGACGAGAGGUCCCAGGUUUGAACCUCAGGACUGCAUGGCAACACUCAUAGCACCGGGGGAAACUCCACGGGUAGAGGGCUGGUGCUGAGGUGUCUUUCUCUUUCUGUCUCUCUAUCCCUCUGUGUGUCUGAAAUAAAAAGGAGGCCAAACAGAGAUUCACAGGGUAGGGUGCGUGCCUCGCCAUCCACAUGGCCCACGUUCGAGUCCUGAUGCCACAUGGGUGGUAACUGUACUCAGUGGGGUUUGUUUCCGGAUCUGAUGGAGGGCAUGAGAGCAGUGAGCAGUGAGUGACAAGGACAGCUUGGGGAGCAGAAGAUGGCGGACAGCAGUGCUUUCUCCUCUGGAAGCCAUUGCCGUUAAGGGUGUAAUCUGUCUCUUUGGGUCCUGGCAGACCUGCUCAGUUCUGAGUCAGAGCACUUUCCCAUUUUCCAAGCUGAAGGCUUGGCACAAAGGAUUCGGAAGGCGGUGGGAGGGCAGAUGCACAUCGGGUGACGCUUUCUGUGCUGUUUCUGCCCACGGGGUGCCACACAGAUUACACCUUUGAGUCCUGGGGGGGGGGUGUUUCCUUUCUUUGUGCAUCUCAGAGUGUGUGUGUGUGUGUGUGUGUGUGUGUAUUCAAGUGUAGGUGUGGACAUGGUAGAAGGGACCAUUUUUUUUCUUCUUUUUUUUUUUUUAUUGCAAGUGAACUUGGAGACUCCAAAGUCAGAGAGACAGCAUGACAUGACCACUUUUCUUAUUUUUUAAAAUUAUUUUAUUAUCUUUACUUAUUUAGUGGAUAGAGACAGCCAGAAAUCAAGAGGGAAAGGAAUAAUAGAGAGGGAGAGAGACAGAGACACACAUGCAACAUUCGAAAAGCUUACCCCUUGCAGGUGGGGAUCGGGACUCGAACCCGGAUCCUUGUGCAUUGUAACAUGUGCACUCAACCAGGUGCACCACCACCCAGGCCCGACAUAACAACUUUUCUGUCUUGGAUUCGGUUUCCCCCAGACAGAUUGAUGGGGUUUUGGAUGGAUUCAACAGACCAGAUAUGCAGUCACCCCAGAGGCUUCUUCAGGGACACACGGCCAUCCUGCUAGCUGUGACCUUUGUGACAGGAGGGCCUGACCUGAAAGAACUGUGUGCCCACUCUCCCCAAGCCGUCGGCACCAGCACACAGAAAGCAAAGAGCAAAGCAGAGAGAGCUAAAGAAGGGGCCAGGUGGUGGCACAGCUGGUUGAGCACACGUUAUAAUGCUCAAGAACCUGGGUUCAAGCCCCCAGCCCCCCACCUGUACGGGGAAAGCUUUGCAAGUGGUGAAGCAGUGCUGCAGGUGUCUUUCUGUCUUUCUUCCUCUAUAUGUCCCUCUUCCCUCUUGAUUUCUGGCUUUUUCUAUCCAACAAACAAAUAAAGAUUAAAAAAUGUUUUAAAUAGAAAAAGA
This is a long non-coding RNA of Erinaceus europaeus (western European hedgehog), 3061 nucleotides long. RefSeq lists it as uncharacterized. The transcript is spliced from 3 exons. NCBI's taxonomy places the organism in Eukaryota, Metazoa, Chordata, Mammalia, Eulipotyphla, Erinaceidae. The record is from RefSeq and is a predicted model, not a curated record.